This is a long non-coding RNA of Amblyraja radiata (thorny skate), 187 nucleotides long. RefSeq lists it as uncharacterized. The transcript has 3 exons. NCBI's taxonomy places the organism in Eukaryota, Metazoa, Chordata, Chondrichthyes, Rajiformes, Rajidae. The record is from RefSeq and is a predicted model, not a curated record.
GUCUUUGUGUAGUACCGUAAUACCAUGUAAAGGGUGGCACGCAUAUAUGUGUGGUGAAGGUUAUAAAUGGCAUGAAUUAAUAAGGGUUAAUCGACAUCCCUCCUCUUAAAGAAGUAAAGCAUAUAUAGUGUUAGUGGAGCAAAUAGAAAACACCAGUAUUUAGCAAUGUUACAACAUUUUGAGAUUU